This 468-nucleotide ribosomal RNA is filed under the name uncultured bacterium. RNAcentral's name for it is "partial 16S ribosomal RNA". It matches the Rfam family "Bacterial small subunit ribosomal RNA", at positions 28 to 507 of the family's 1533-position model. The record is from RNAcentral.
GACGAACGCUGGCGGCGUGCUUAACACAUGCAAGUCGAACGGAAAGGCCCUGCUUUUGUGGGGUGCUCGAGUGGCGAACGGGUGAGUAACACGUGAGUAACCUGCCCUUGACUUUGGGAUAACUUCAGGAAACUGGGGCUAAUACCGGAUAUGAGCUCCUGCUGCAUGGUGGGGGUUGGAAAGUUUCGGCGGUUGGGGAUGGACUCGCGGCUUAUCAGCUUGUUGGUGGGGUAGUGGCUUACCAAGGCUUUGACGGGUAGCCGGCCUGAGAGGGUGACCGGCCACAUUGGGACUGAGAUACGGCGCAGACGCCAACGGGAGGCAGCAGUGGGGAAUAUUGCGGAAUGGGCGGAAGCCUGAGACAGCAACGCCGCGUGCGGGAUGACGGCCUUCGGGUUGUAAACCGAUUUCGCCUGUGACGAAGCGUGAGUGACGGUAAUGGGUAAAGAAGCACCGGCUAACUACGUG